Molecule: long non-coding RNA, 1996 nt
Filed under: Homo sapiens (human)
Lineage: Eukaryota; Metazoa; Chordata; Mammalia; Primates; Hominidae
Description: long non-coding RNA NONHSAT150188.1
Source: RNAcentral
UCAAGUGAUUCUCCUGCCUCAGCCUCCCGAGUAGCUGGGACUGCAGGCAUGCACCACCAUGCCCAGCUAAUUUUUGUAUAUUUAGUAGAGAAGGGGUUUCACCAUGUUGGCCAGGAUGGUCUCAAUCUCUUGACCUCGUGAUCCGCCCGCCUCAGCCUCCCAAGGUGCUGCUGGGAUUACAGGCAUGAGCCACCCCGCCCGGCCCACGCCCAUUUCUAAAGAUGAAAUAGUUCAAUGGGACAGAAUUAAGGAAUUUCUCUUUUAUAAAACACCCAAUUAGUGACAGUGAUGGAAUCAGGACCAAAAUCUGUGUUUAGGUAAGAUACAGGUUUGGCUGCUGUGAAAAAGACCUAAAAUACCAUGCUAGAAGAUGGUCGACAUUUUAGAUCUUAUAUAAAAGUCAGCUGGUUUAAGGUACCAGCAAUAUUUCAGGAACCCACAAUUCUAUCUUCUGGCUCCACAAUUCUUAAGGUUUGUCCUUGUUUGGAUGUCCAAGAUGGCAACAGUAAAAAGCGAUGGCGUGUCCCUUCCUUUGAGAUAACAGUUCGCAGGUCUGGUGGCACAUUAGAAUCAUUGCAGAGACUUUUUAAGAAAUAUUGAUCCCCAGUCCCUACCUGUGAGAGAUUCUCACACAGUUGAUCUGACAGAAGGUCAAGAUGUUGAUUUUUUUUGGCAUUAUAAUACAUCCACAAAUUAAUAUUUAUUUAUUUAUUUAUCUUUAAACUUUUAUUUUAGGUUCAGGGCUACAUGUGCAGGUUUGUUAUAUAGGUAAACUUGCGUCAUGGAGGUUUGAUGUAGAGAUUAUUUCAUUACCUAGGUACUAAGCCUAGUACCCAAUACCCAAUAGUUAUUUUUUUCUUUUUCUCUCCCUCCUAUUUGUUUUUAAACAAAUGGUUUUUUUCUUUUUUUUUUUGAGACAGAAUGUCACUCUGUCCCCCAGGCUGGAGUGCAGUGGUGCCAUCUUGGCUCACUGCAAGCUCCGCCUCCCGGGUUCCCGCCAUUCUCCUGCCUCAGCCUCCUGAGUAGCCGGACUACAGGCGCCGGCCACCCCACCGCGCUAAUUUUUUUGUAUUUUUUAGUAGAGACGGGGUUUUGUGUCCGGAAUUGGUGGGUUCUUGGUCUCACUGACUUCAAGAAUGAAGCCGCGGACCCUCGCAGUGAGUGCUACAGCUUUUAAGGUGGCGCCUUUGGAGUUUGUUCCUUCUGAUGUUCGGAUGUGUUCGGAGUUUCUUCCUUCUGGUGGGUUCGUGAUCUCGCUGGCUCAGGAGUGAAGCUGCAGACCUUCACGGGGAGUGUUACAGCUCUUAAGGUGGCACAUCUGGAGUUUGUUCCUUCUGACGUUCAGAUGUGUUCGGAGUUUCUUCCUUCUGGUGGGUUCGUGAUCUCGCUGGCUCAGGAGUGAAGCUGCAGACCUUCAGGGGGAGUGUUACAGCUCUUAAGGUGGCGCGUCUGGAGUUUCUUCCUUCUGGUGGGUUCGUGAUCUCGCUGGCUCAGGAGUGAAGCUGCAGACCUUCACGGUGAGUGUUACAGCUCUUAAGGUGGCGCGUCUGGAGUUUGUUCCUUCUGAUGUUCAGAUGUGUUCGGAGUUUCUUCCUUCUGGUGGGUUCGUGAUCUCGCUGGCUCAGGAGUGAAGCUGCAGACCUUCAGGGUGAGGGUUACAGCUCUUAAGGCAGAGCGUCUGGAGUUGUUCCUUCCUCCCGGUGGGCUGGCUGGGCUCAGGAGUGAAGCUGCAGAUCUUUGCGGUGAGUGUUACAGCUCAUAAAAGCAGCGUGGACCCAAAGACUGAGCAGUAGCAAGAUUUAUUGCAAAGAGCGAAAGAACAAAGCUUCCACAGUGUGGAAGGGGACCCAGCGGGUUACCACUGCUGGCUCGGGCAGCCUGCUUUUAUUCUCUUAUCUGGUCCCACCCACAUCCUGCUGAUUGGUAGAGCCCAGUGGCCUGUUUUGACAGGGCGCAGAUUGGUGCCUUAACAAUCCCUGAGCUAGAUACAAAGGCU